GUAAAUUAUUAGCUCUGAAUUAAAAAACCUAAGGGAAACUAUGGUCUUUUAAUCUGGGUGCUACUGGAAACGGUUGUGCCUCCCGUGUUUGGAAAGGAGAUAUAUUACAUGUUUUU
RNAcentral lists this non-coding RNA (116 nucleotides) under Clostridium grantii. Its description in RNAcentral is "MoCo sequence". It matches the Rfam family "Molybdenum/Tungsten riboswitch aptamer (Moco RNA motif)". Lineage: Bacteria; Bacillati; Bacillota; Clostridia; Eubacteriales; Clostridiaceae. The record is from RNAcentral. RNAcentral also lists the same sequence under 1 other name.